RNAcentral lists this ribosomal RNA (497 nucleotides) under uncultured bacterium. RNAcentral describes it as "partial 16S ribosomal RNA". It matches the Rfam family "Bacterial small subunit ribosomal RNA", at positions 28 to 507 of the family's 1533-position model. The record is from RNAcentral.
GAUGAACGCUGGCGGCGUGCCUAAUACAUGCAAGUCGAGCGAACAGACGAGGAGCUUGCUCCUCUGACGUUAGCGGCGGACGGGUGAGUAACACGUGGAUAACCUACCUAUAAGACUGGGAUAACUUCGGGAAAGCGGAGCUAAUCCCGGAUAAUAUAUUGAGCCGCGUGGUUCAUUAGUGAGAGACGGUUUUGCUGUCACUUAUAGCUGGAUCCGCGCCGGAUUAGCUAGUUGGUAAGGUAACGGCUUACCAAGGCAACGAUGCGUAGCCGACCUGAGAGGGUGAUCGGCCACACUGGAACUGAGACACGGUCCAGACUCCUACGGGAGGCAGCAGUAGGGAAUCUUCCGCAAUGGGCGAAAGCCUGACGGAGCAACGCCGCGUGAGUGAUGAAGGUCUUCGGAUCGUAAAACUCUGUUAUUAGGGAAGAACAAAUGUGUAAGUAACUAUGCACGUCUUGACGGUACCUAAUCAGAAAGCCACGGCUAACUACGUG